UGCUGUAUGAUAUCAAAAAUGAGUUCAGCAGUUCAUACUAAAGUUUACACAACAUUUUAAACACUUAUAGUUUACAUGUAGGCAUGGCACCAGUGGUGUUUAGCAUCGACAUUUCCAACUGUAUUGCUUACACCUUCAAAAAGUGUGAAUAUUUAUAUGCAAAACUGACACUUAUUAAAAUGAAAUAGUUCCAAAUCAUCAUGUUACCUAUGUGAUAGGUCACAAUCGUGCAUUUGCUUAUUUUGUAUUUUUCUUUUUUCGUUUUGUUAUAUUUUUUCCCUUUUUUUGUAAAUAAUUAUGCUUUAACUCUAGUUUAAAUAUAAAUAACCUAAUUUGUAAAUAAUAUUCCUAUAAUCCUUAUCCUAAGAUACCAGUUACCCUUAAUAUUAAAAAAAUGAAUUAUAUAAAAAAUGAAUUUGUAAAUAGAAACAAUUUAAAUUUGAAUUUCAUACCCAUCCUACUAUACCCCUGGUAUCCCACCAUCAAAAUCCUUCCCAAACCAUAUAUGCACUGAUGCAUGGCGCCCGGUACCAACUGUGCGAAAACAAAUCCCUCCCGGGAAAUGUUCUAAGAUUUGGUUUUGCUGCAUCAUCAAGUCCUAUAAAAAGGAUAUGCAGGCCCAGGAAAGGAUCUUUUUCGGUACAAAGUUAAAAGUUAAUCGCGAGUGGAAGACACCUGUACCCCACCGCAGAUCAAAUAGGAAGUGAUAAGUGCCAAGUGUCCCACUAGAAACUCAAGGGAACCUGAGAGGACCGAACAGGACGGGUCUCGAAGACAUUCCGGAGACGCAAAGCCUCGCUGGCAUCUCGACAUCCAUCGACCGCCGGCAAGGAAGCCAAGUCACUAGCCAUUUAUUGGACCGAAACUCCCAUCAGCAACGACAAAUCGCAGGUGAAGUUGUAGUGCAUUCCUUUCAUACCUUCUUAAAUCCUUACCCUUUAAAAUAAAUCAUGUGUAAAUUAGAA
This is a long non-coding RNA of Aedes aegypti (yellow fever mosquito), 965 nucleotides long. RefSeq lists it as uncharacterized. Lineage: Eukaryota; Metazoa; Arthropoda; Insecta; Diptera; Culicidae. The transcript has 2 exons. The record is from RefSeq and is a predicted model, not a curated record.